UUAAAAGAGGAAAUAGGCAUCCAUCACCGACUCCCAAAGCCGGAAUUUUAGUUAAAACUAUCUUUUA
This 67-nucleotide transfer RNA is filed under the name Chamaeleo chamaeleon musae. RNAcentral describes it as "tRNA-Pro". The record is from RNAcentral. Lineage: Eukaryota; Metazoa; Chordata; Lepidosauria; Squamata; Chamaeleonidae.